UACAGAGGUCCCAAGCGUUGUUCGGAUUCACUGGGCGUAAAGGGUGCGUAGGUGGUGAGGUAAGUCAGAUGUGAAAUCUCCGGGCUCAACCCGGAAAUGGCAUUGGAAACUACCUUGCUGGAGGGUUUGAGGGGGGAUUGGAAUACUUGGUGUAGCAGUGAAAUGCGUAGAUAUCAAGUGGAACACCAGUGGCGAAGGCGAAUCCCUGGAAAACACCUGACACUGAGGCACGAAAGCUAGGGGAGCAAACAGG
RNAcentral lists this ribosomal RNA (253 nucleotides) under uncultured bacterium. RNAcentral describes it as "partial 16S ribosomal RNA". It matches the Rfam family "Bacterial small subunit ribosomal RNA", at positions 524 to 776 of the family's 1533-position model. The record is from RNAcentral.